RNAcentral lists this ribosomal RNA (433 nucleotides) under uncultured bacterium. Its description in RNAcentral is "partial 16S ribosomal RNA". It matches the Rfam family "Bacterial small subunit ribosomal RNA", at positions 29 to 507 of the family's 1533-position model. The record is from RNAcentral.
AACGAACGCUGGCGGCAGACCUAACACAUGCAAGUCGAGCGCGCCCUUCGGGGUGAGCGGCGGACGGGUGAGUAACGCGUGGGAACGUGCCCUUUUCUACGGAAUAGCCUCGGGAAACUGAGAGUAAUACCGUAUACGCCCUUUGGGGGAAAGAUUUAUCGGAAAAGGAUCGGCCCGCGUUGGAUUAGGUAGUUGGUGGGGUAAUGGCCUACCAAGCCGACGAUCCAUAGCUGGUUUGAGAGGAUGAUCAGCCACACUGGGACUGAGACACGGCCCAGACUCCUACGGGAGGCAGCAGUGGGGAAUCUUAGACAAUGGGGGCAACCCUGAUCUAGCCAUGCCGCGUGAGUGAUGAAGGCCUUAGGGUUGUAAAGCUCUUUCAGCUGGGAAGAUAAUGACGGUACCAGCAGAAGAAGCCCCGGCUAACUCCGUG